GACGUGGGGGGCCAGCGUUGCUCGGAAUUACUGGGCGUAAAGGGUUCGUAGGCGGUGCGGUAAGUCGGAAGUGAAAUCUCUGGGCUUAACUCAGAGGCUGCUUUCGAAACUGCCGUGCUAGAGUGCGGGAGAGGCGAGUGGAAUUGCAGGUGUAGCGGUGAAAUGCGUAGAUAUCUGCAGGAACACCCGUGGCGAAGGCGGCUCGCUGGACCGCAACUGACGCUGAGGAACGAAAGCUAGGGGAGCAAACAGG
RNAcentral lists this ribosomal RNA (253 nucleotides) under uncultured bacterium. RNAcentral's name for it is "partial 16S ribosomal RNA". It matches the Rfam family "Bacterial small subunit ribosomal RNA", at positions 524 to 776 of the family's 1533-position model. The record is from RNAcentral.